Molecule: long non-coding RNA, 7631 nt
Filed under: Musa acuminata (dwarf banana)
Lineage: Eukaryota; Viridiplantae; Streptophyta; Magnoliopsida; Zingiberales; Musaceae
Description: long non-coding RNA (MACU_LNC003480)
Source: RNAcentral
GGCCUUUCCACGAGUUCGAUGCUGUCGCCUUCGAGCGCGUGUUUCGCGCCUGCCUUAGCUUCGUCGUGGUGGGGCGGGAGGCAUUUUAGGAGUUGAUCGGCCAGGGGUGGUUCCUCACCCACAAUGCCACGAAGUGGUUCCUCACGUCAGGCGCUGGCAGCUGCCGAUGGUUGUCACCAUCGUCGCCUUCGGGGUGGAUGCGAAUGGGUUCCAACUUUUGUGAUUGAAGAAGAAGAUAUCUACAUGCGACAUUUAGGGUUUGGCUUUCGUGGUCUCUCCCUCUCCGUUGCUUUUCAGGAGUACUUUUGGUACUUACAAGAUUGAUGACGAAGAGGAUGGCAAGGCCAAAUACAGUAAUUUGGAUUUUGGAGAUCAUCAAGCUCAAGCGCUUGUGAGAAGGUUUAUGAUAAAAGGAAAAGAAAAAUCCCAUAUUAAGGUAAUUGGAGAGUUUGAUAGGAUAGGGCCAUGGUAAAAAAAGAUGAGGGAACAGUUGAGGAGGCUGGGGUACGGAGGAAAUGAUGGGUAGGUAGAUGGGAUUUCGCCACUAAACUUGUGCUCAAGCAAGUGUCGGAGUGGGAUGUGAAUUAUGACCAUGUCACUAUGAUGCCAUAUUUUGUUACUAGUAUGCAGGCUAGUAGAUUUAGGAAAGCCAAGACUGGAGCUGCUAAAUGGUAGGCUUGUAAAAUCAUAUGGCGAUAAUUUUAUGUUGUUAUUGAUGUCAAGCUGGAAGAGGCUUGUGUCUUGGAGUAGAUUGUGGGUAGGAAGAGGACGAGAAGAAAGAAGCCUUAGGAGGAUAGGCUUGAUUGGAAGGACUGCAUUAUCAAACUUUUGCUACUUCACCAAGAGAAUGAGGAUGAUAUAGAGUAACGAUAGUAAGACAUAUUUCUAGAGAUGUCUUAAAUUGAUAAGUGCUGAAAGAUGAAAACCAAAUAGUUGGUGGGAUUUGAAUGUUUGGGCGCCCCCUGCCAAUUGUGUGUUUUAUACAUAAAUUGCUGACAAAAAUAUUUCUCUUUUUGGCAUGGCUAUUUAUAUAUCAACACAUACAUAUAAAUUGAAUGAGCAAUUGCUUAAGACACUUAAAAAUUGCUUUUUACCUAAGUAGCAAUAGUCUUACAGUACUUUGGUUUUGGAUGUAUUGUUUAUCUUUGCUUCAGUUGAUCAUAUAAAGUGAAUUUAGGGUGCUGAUUGAAAUACUAUGAAUAAAGAAAUUCCUGAUUUAAUGUCUCAGUUUAAAGUAAAAGUCAAUUCUUUUUUUCUUCCCUUUGGAAUUUGCAUAUGAAAAAUAUUAUUUAGUGAAUCAGGUUAAAGUUUUUCUUUUUUAUAGUAUUGUUUAGAAGUUUUACUUGGGAAAAUUAGCUUGUAAAUUUGUAGAAUUCAUAUUUAUGAUUCAUAAAUAUAUAAAAAAUUCUCUGUAAGUCAAUUGUUUCUAACUCUAUUAGGAAAUGAAUUCCUUAAGUACAUAAGUUUCAGUUAAUGGGAGAAUCAAGGGAAAAAAAGCUCUGUCGUCACUACACCUUGUUUCAUCAUUCCUAGAAAGCUAGAUGGAAACUGUGUUUUCUUUUAGAUUUAUAAUUCUGAACUCAUAUGUGAUAAAUGUGGGCAAAUAUCAAUAUAUGUAUAAAUGACAGCAUUUUUGUAAUGUUUUCAGUCCAAAUGCUAAAAAUUAUAAUGCAAAAUUUAGGAAUGGCUAGUAAUAAAAAAGAAUAAUGGAAACAACCUCUUGGGAGGGACAAGGCUAUGUAUUUGUGGGUGCUGAUGUACAAGGUGCCCAUAACAAUAAAAAAUAUCAAGACAGAGAAAUUCUAAUAUGGUUCUGGCAUAGAUGAUAUCAUUAAGGAAAUAAGGUGGUUACAUCGGGACUGCCUCAGAUCUUGUACAUAACAUCUGGUGGAGUUUCUUUUGUUGUCCUUUUGAUUCUAUUGUUGUUUCUAAUUUCUAGAUUAAGUCUUCAUGUUAUCUCUACAAAUAAAAAAAUUUAGGAUGGCAUGAAUUAUGUAUUCAGCAUAGCAAGGGAGACUGAUAAUUGGAUGUUUAUAAGCAACAAACAAUGUUAAAUGGGUGUAUAUAUACAAGAUCAUAAUGUGAGUAUGACAUGCAAAAAUAAUGAAAUAUUCUGACCGAGGAGCUUUUGUUGACUUAUCAGUGUCAUUUAGCUCCAAGCAUAUGCAACUAGAUUUUCCUUAAAAUGCCAAGAUCCAGACAUGCUGCUUGCAGAAAAGACAUAAAAAUGAGCUUUGUAAGUACUGAAACAGUGAAAUCUGAUGUUGAAGACAAUUAUGUGAGGUUCUAUGACACACAGUAUUGAGUAAAAGAAUUUAAACUCUAAUUGAGAAUAUGGUGUCUAAGACUUAUCAGUUGUGUCCCCAUGGCAAUGUAGAAGUGUGGAUCUGUUCACAAAAAGUUUGAUGCACUUGCGAGGAUUUAACUCUUAAAGAAGAAUUACAAUGGUUAAAAGAUUCAACUGGUAGAAAGGCACAAGACUUUAUGAAUCUUUAAAAUGUUUCAAUUGUUUAUUGGAAGAUUUGAUCUGUUACUAGUUCUAUAAUCUGGCUGCAUUGAUGGAGCUAUAAGGUUGACAGAUGGCUGCUAAAAGAUAGUUGGCAGGAAAAAAUUCUGUUAUACUUAACCCAAAAUCAAAGUUCCUGAACUCAUUUCCCAAUUGAGUCCGAUGAUGUAGAAAUAAGUGUACACUAUGAUAUUGUGGGUAGAGUAGUUGACAACAAUGGGUUAGUGAAUAAAGAAUAUAAGGAAGAAUCAGAAGCUUGUUUUACCACAGAUGUUACUGAUGCCUCUUAUAUAGCAUGCCUGUUAUCUGGCAACCAGGUUAACAGACUUCUAGUAGGCUUUUGGCAAAAAUUUAGAGGUUGCCUUUUCCAAACUUGUGAUAUCAUGGAAAAUCCUAUAAAUUUGAUAUCAUAGAUUGAUAGAUACACCUAAAAUCAACAAAUUUCCGUAAAUAUCUUCCAGAGUGCAAUAGAUACCCUUCUUAUGUUGAGAAAAUUCACGAAUAACUCUAUGUCUAGUGGCUAUAUUUAAUUGUAUCUUAGCAGGAAGUCACUCUUCUGUUUGACUAUCUUCUCUUUUGGGCUAAAGCCAUGGCUGUGAUUCUUACCGAAGCUGGCUGUUCAUAAUUCACUUUCUUAGUUUAGUCCUUUGAUAUUGCUACAAAUGAUUUAAACAUAUUUUAAAUGAAUAAACUUUUUAGUAGGAGGAUAUAGAAUCAAAAUAAAAAAUCAUCUUCUAAUGUUUGUCCAAGUACAAAUGGCCAGAUUCCUUGUUUAUUUGUUAAAUGCAUUGUUCAGAAUUCAGAUAAAAGUGCAAUAUAUUGCUGGAAUUUUUGGCAGUACUUAAUUUACUUUAUUAUGAACUUCUGAAACUUUUACUUUAGGGAUGGCAAUUUUGGUGGUAGGUUGGGUUUAAAAGUCAAUGCGGGGUGGAGGUCAAAUUUAGGUUGGGUCACUAUCGAAUCAAAUUUAGUUGGCUCCGGAGAAUGCCAAUACAUUUCUGACUGGCUCAUGUUAGGUUUCUUUGUGGAUAAACCUGUCAAUCUGGCUGCAUAUUAAAACAAUGGCUAUUAACUGUGGAGGAACAACAUCAUCAAGGUCUCAUGCAGUUUGUUAAAAAAAACUAGAAUAAAUUUUAUAAAGGUCUAGUAUAUUUUUCAUGUAUUAUUUGCUUGUAGAUAUAGAUAGUGGACUGCCAAAACAUCAACAGGAUUUAAAAACACUUAUGCUAGUUGGUAUACAAAUUGUGAUUUUCUGUCCAAUUGGAAUUUGGAUGAAGGGGGUUAACAACUCAAGCUCAUAAAUCUAUGGUGUUUCGUUGGCUAUGUUAAAUUAUGAAACAGUUAAGUUAAACACAUUCAGUGGAAACCAAAAAUCGUGUCUUGUGAGAAAAUGAUCAAUUACAGCAUGUUGUAAACCAAAUAAAUUUGGAAGAUUCAUUUUAACUAAAUAUCUAUGCAAUAAACCUCAUGAUUACUUCGAAUUGGAACAUAUUAUACAAAUGUAAUAAUUCUCUUGAUUGUAGAUUUCUCUUAUUGAUUAUGUACUCUGAAUAACACCAAAAUCUUGUGAAUCUCAGACAGGAGAUUUUCUAAAUAGACAGCCACAGUUUAUUCUGGUGCCCUGCACUCAUUUUUGCAUAAACAAGUCAAGCAUGUUUGAUUUUAUAAUUUUAUUUAUAAGGUGAAAAAUUUAGUCUGAUUAUUAACCAUAUAGUCACUCUCAUCUUAACCUUUGCAAUAUUCACAAUCCUGUUUGCCACUGAAUUCUCAGAAAUCUUAUCUUCAUACAAAGAGUAUUGUAGAUAAUUGACAACAUUAGGAGCUUAUAGUUUCCUUUUUAUGGAAUAUUCUUUUAUUUGUAUCUGGUUAAAUUUCAUAUUUAAAACUUGCUGCACACUUAUACAAUUUACUUGUGUUCUGCAUACGAUCAUCUGCUGGAGCUCAUCCAUCUUUCAAGCAAAUUUUACUGUAUAAAAUGUUUCAUCUCUAAGGUGGUUUUUGGUUAAUCAUUAGAAUUGGAAUCGGGUUGGACUUUAAGAAUUGAGUCUAAGAUAUCUUAUAUAUUUUGAAAAAUCGAGAUCUCAUUUGUCCAACUCAAGUGAAAGAUAAGGAAUACCUUUUAUUAACUAAUUAAAUUCUUCUUUGAUAAUUAUACCUGUCACUUGAUAAUUGGCUCUUUCCGAAAUGUGUUAACCAAAUCGAGACACAAAAUCAAAAUGAGUAGUCACUUUUGAUCCAACAAAUCUACUGAGUAGCCCUAGAGGCUGAUGUAGUAAGAAAUUGAUAGUCUAUGGUAUCACAUCUUUUCAUGAAUAUCAUAUCUGCUCAAUAUUUUUUACCUUGAUGUUUUUAUUUCUGCUUUUUACAAAUAAAAAAUGAUAUCAUACAUGCAUAUGUAAUGUACAAUCAUAUAUUGUAAAAUAUGGUGAUCAGUUAUAUUUGUGUGUGGAGCACCAUUGUGCUCUUUUUUAAUAAAACGUUCUUGAUUCUUGUUAGCUCUUUAUGUUUCACUCGUAUGAUGCAUAUCAGUAAAGAGAGUUUUAAAUUCACCUCUUCCAUUAAUGACUUUGGUAUAAUUCUUGGAGGUCCUGUAUCUUUCUUGUUGGCAGUGCAAUGGAGGGCAGCUCAAACACCAACUUGUGUAAUUCUCUUGGUGGAUAGGGAGUAAAAGAAUAACCUGUUCUAAUGAAAAAGUCAUAUCUUUGAUUUCCUGUUCUAGAAGUUUACGUGAUAACAUGUUAGGUACCCAUAUAAAUUCAGCUGGCUAGAAUGUACUUUUGAAGCACAUAUGGUACAAGUGUCUGCAUGAUCUCCAAAGCUUUUAAAAGGUGUGAUGUAAGUGCUGGAUUCUGUUUUGAGGAAAGGAUGAACUUGGAUGAAAUUAUGCUUGACCAGGCAUAACACCUGAAUAGCAAAGGAGUGAAAACACGACAAUAAUCUUUGACGAAGGCCUUUGUUCUGUUUGCAUCUUGAGUGGAAAAUGCCUUCAGUUUGUUUCGUAUGGUACUCUUACCCUCUGAUUCAGUAUAGUUACCUUUUCCAGCUUCUUGAGUUAGUUACAGCUGUAUGGGUGGAAGUUUUAUGGUUAAGGAUUGUACUCGUGAAUGUAGAUGCAUUUACAAAACUCCUGCUGCAAUAAGUGACAGAUAAUGUAUGUCUUUCUACUACUUUUCUAAUAAAAGUUGGGCUUUGGACAUAUUUGAUACAGUAAGUUGCAGGAAAAGCUAUGCACAUGUCAAUGAGUUAGAUGCCUUAGAAGUUCUAUCUCUUCUAUGAUCAAAGAGAUGUGCUCUAUGAGAAGCUUGGAAACAAUAUGAACUAUGAAAUUCGUCUUGUUUUGGUUCAACUGUCAUUACAUAGGAGGCGAUGCAGAUUGGUUAGUGUAAAGAUUGGGUUGUAAAGUGGACAGGGUUGGAUGCUUUGUGGUUAUGUUCAUCUGAUUGGAUUGAAGUAAGCUUGUAUUAGGUGUGGAAUGCAGUUUAUACAUACGAGGGGAAGGAACCUGCUAAGAAUGUUUACCUGUAUCAGAGCAGCUAAUUAGCCUUGGUAGAAAUUGAUGACAGAAAGCAAUUACCAUUGUAGAUCAUUAAUGACAGAAAGUAACUACUGUAGACCUUUAAUAACUCUGAUAUAUCGAAUAAUUGGGUGAUCUACUAGGAAAAGUCCCUAUUGUCAAAAGUUACUUAUGGAUUCUUCUAGUGUUUCCAUUGCUUUUGGUUCAUAUAGCCUAAGAGUGCUUUUGCCUGUGAGGGAUGGUAGUGAAAGUUACUGCAUUGCUAUAGGUAAAGAGUUAGCAUCAGAACCUCCCACAAUUAGUACUGGUACUAGGGUCUACAAUGGUAAUUGCUUUCUGUCAUCAAUUUCUACCAAGGCUAAUUAGCUACUCUGAUACAGGUAAACAUUCUUAGCAGGUUCCUUCCCAUCCUAUGUAUAAUCACAAAAAAUACAUUUAGAUAUUACUAUCGAGAAGAUGUAUUCUUGGAUUUGUAUUCUUAAAAUUAAAAAAGAAAGAAUGCCUAAAGAAUGUUUACAAGUGUUUGUUGCUACAGUUGUUCUUAUUGUCCUUUAAUAUUGCAAUAUUCAAAGUUAAUCUGGAACUUUGCAGAUCGUUCAAUCAGAUUGACAAUGACAAAUCUCUAGGCAUGUGACAGAUGGCCUCAAUGAGCUUGAGGAAGUUGGUAAUAAGGAUGCCAAGCAAAUUUUCCUAAUGCUUAAUGGUAUGUUGAGGCAGUAAAACACAUCAUUAUCCUCUACAGUUUGCUCCAUGAAUGUCAGAUGUCUAUGAUAUUAUUAUUGAUAUAGUAUAUCAGUCAAUAUUUGUAACUAAGUUAUUGAACACUAUCGAUAAUCUUAUGGUUAUUGUUGUUCCGCAUGCUUCAGAAUCUAUGAGAUGCUCUGCUGUAAUUGAAUUUCUGGGAGUUAGUCCACACUUGUCAUAUAAGAUCAGUAGCGAAAUAUGCUUUUGUUUCAACAUGAAUUACAAGUCUUUUCAUGUAUGAUGAUUUCAUAGUUGUCCUGAUUAUGGUUUAUCAUGCCUUACUUAUGAACAAGAAGGAUGGCAAUGCUUGCUGUAAAAAUGGACUGUGCUGAUCAUAUCAUCUAGUAUCAAUGUUCUUGUUUUUCCAUUAAGAAAUUCAAUCAAGUCAUAAACUCUUGAGAACAAUGCCAUAUCUGCAAUGAUCAUGUUUUCCCAGAUCUGAGAAAACGAUGGGUGUUGAAUUUGUGUUCCUUAUCUUCAUCUUGUCCUGACCGUUGGUUUCAACUUAAGCCACUUCAACUGACCAUUACAUGCUUCUCUGAAAUUUAUGCACCUCUGUAGGUAACCUGAUGUCGAGUCAUCUCUUUGGCAUCUUUGACUAAAACAUGCUGUUGAUGGAGCCACUAACUCAAAAAGUCCUUCCAGAUGGUUUGUGGUCAUGGAUCAUCAAGUCCAAGCUCAUCCACCAUGGAAGGCAGCAGAGCAGUCAUGUUUGAACAUGAGAUUGUCUUGUUUCUCGAUCUUUUCCAUUCAGGGAAUAGAUUCUUUUCCUUUUGUAUGUUAUGUUUGGGCUCCUUUAGUCUUUGAUCAUUUGAAUCCAUUAUUCCUAGACCUUUAACUUGUACUUGCUUAUCUGCAACUACCAAG